GCACACGUGGCUGAAUGGCGAAGUGUCUGUCUGCAAAACAGAAUCAUGCGGGUUCAACUCCUGUCGUGUGCUCCA
RNAcentral lists this transfer RNA (75 nucleotides) under Gammaproteobacteria bacterium. RNAcentral's name for it is "tRNA-Cys". It matches the Rfam family "tRNA". From Rfam's summary of the family: Transfer RNA (tRNA) molecules are approximately 80 nucleotides in length. Lineage: Bacteria; Pseudomonadati; Pseudomonadota; Gammaproteobacteria. The record is from RNAcentral.